Brienomyrus brachyistius is the source of this 1051-nucleotide long non-coding RNA. RefSeq lists it as uncharacterized. The record is from RefSeq and is a predicted model, not a curated record. The transcript is spliced from 3 exons. NCBI's taxonomy places the organism in Eukaryota, Metazoa, Chordata, Actinopteri, Osteoglossiformes, Mormyridae.
GUUCUGGGAUCACAGUACAUGAGCCACUCCACCGCUGAAGACUUACUGGAGAAGUUUAAGGUAAGCCAUUCAAUAACAUUUAAACUCAUUAACGAACCCGUGAUUUUUAAAUAUCCAUGGUUUAUCUUUCCAUGUGUUUAAAUGGGAGAACCAUAUUUAUUGGUAAGCAUAUUUUAAAGAUUUUAUUGCUGCUUCAUGGCUUUUCUUGCAAAAAAAUAGUUCAUUGAGGAAAUAGAAUGUUUAAGUGUUGUGUAGCAACAUGUACAGCUGGUCCUGCAUCACUCUGUCGGGGCUUAUUCCACGAGAAUGACCGCCUCACUGAACAAUAUCCCUUACAUACGAUUGUUUCAUUAGCAAGUCUUCUGUACUAGUGUAUGCUUAUGUCCUUGCACUCCUUAUGUUGCGUGAACUUAAUAUAUGAAAACUAUUUGACUGCAAUAUCUCAGUAUAGUGCUAUAAAUAUCUAACUGUUUUUACAAUUUUUUUUCUCCAGUAAUUUUAGGAGUGUACAAAGGAGCUCAAUGUAAAAAAUUUGCUCCCCUUGUCGGUGGAUGGACCUGCAGUCAUUUGGAUGUUCGUAGAGCUCUUGCAAAAAGACCAUGCCAGAAGAGAGGACUUCACAGCUGCAACAUCAUCCUCAAGAUUCCUUCUACCUUUCUGUGGGCAACGGUGGCUCGAACAUUUGCCAGCUGUCGAACGAGCAUUGGAAGUCUGGCCCUCUGUUGUGAAGUAUGUGGACCUGGUGAAGUCAGAAAAGGUGAAAAACCCAGGGACAUCUUCUUUUGACUGCAUUUCUGAAGCCCGAAUGGAUCCCCUUCUUCUGGCCAAACUACAUGUUUUUCAUGGCCCUAUCACAAGCAUUUCAACCAUUUCUGGCUAAAUACCAGACAGGUGUUCCCAUGAUGCCCUUCCUUUGGAAGGACUUGGCAGAAUUGAUCCAGACUCUCCUUCAGCGCUUCAUCAAACGAGAUCCCCUGCCUCUCACUCCAUAUAAGCUGGUCAGACUUGAUGUCAGUGAUCAAAAACUCUGGCUCAGUCCAAAGGAGGUGGA